AUCCAAUAAAAUAAUAAUCUAGAGUGCUUCUCCGCCGGGCCGUCCGCGCGGCCAAGCCGGCAACCACCUCACGGCCAUUCUUCUCCCUGCCCAGUCUCUUCCCCUUUGCGAUCUUUAUCCCCCAUGCUUUACUCCCCAAUAUCGCUCUCCCAUGGUAUGAACGGCUACGGGUGAGCGAAGCGACGAGUUGUCAAAGGUUGCGAGGUACCUCCUGCUCCUUUGCUCUCAUGUGCGUCCAGUACUGGUGUGCGUCCAUCGUGAUUCCCUGGCGGCGGUGUGACGGGAGAGAAAGCAGUCAACACAGAGUGGAUCUACGAGGCGAUGCCAUUGAAUUAUAGGCAGCGGCACACGUUCCUUCCGUAGAGGCAGGGGGUUCUUCGAGGCUGUCUUGGACUCAGGGUGUGUUUGGUUCGGGAACGAAGUGGAAUGAAAUGUCAUGGUUCCAUUCCAUUAUAAUGGGUCGGUUCCGUCCUUACGUUUGGUAGAAGGAAUUCAGAGGAAUGGAAUGAUUACAUUUGGGUGUUUGGUUUA
Triticum aestivum (bread wheat) is the source of this 531-nucleotide long non-coding RNA. RefSeq lists it as uncharacterized. The record is from RefSeq and is a predicted model, not a curated record. The transcript has 2 exons. NCBI's taxonomy places the organism in Eukaryota, Viridiplantae, Streptophyta, Magnoliopsida, Poales, Poaceae.